RNAcentral lists this microRNA precursor (543 nucleotides) under Saccharum sp. Its description in RNAcentral is "miR156 stem-loop (ssp-MIR156)". Its record names the gene ssp-MIR156. The stretch from base 303 to 388 matches the Rfam family "mir-156 microRNA precursor family". The record is from miRBase by way of RNAcentral. Lineage: Eukaryota; Viridiplantae; Streptophyta; Magnoliopsida; Poales; Poaceae.
AGGCUGACAGAAGAGAGUGAGCACACAUGGUGCCUUUCUUGCAUGAUGAACGAUCGAGAGGUUCAUGCUCGAAGCUAUGCGUGCUCACUUCUCUCUCUGUCAGCCGUUAGAACUCUCUCUCGAUCGCACCCUCCCUCGAUCUCUCUUUCGUUCUCUGUCAAUCUCUCCCAUGGUGAUAUUUAUUUGCUUGUCUGCGUGUUCUCUUUCCUAAGCACAGACACGACCAGUUCACGGUGCCUUAGGUGUUUUUUUGCACUUUGCCUGAAGAGAGGAAGGCAAGGGGGAGAUGGGUUUUUGAAGGUUUGACAGAAGAGAGUGAGCACACACGGUGGUUUCUUANCAUGAGUGCCAUGCUGGGAGCUGUGCGUGCUCACUCUCUAUCUGUCAGCCACUCAUCAGGCCCAUCUCUCUGGUNUCCGCGGCUAUAUGUUCGAGCCCUUGAAGUNUCUUGGACACAGAUCGAUCUCUUGUGCAAUUAUAUGAUUAUAGAAGCUAAAUAUGAUUAACAUGUGGAUCUCAAUGUCGGGUAUAUCCUCCUCCUAU